Non-coding RNA from Chelonoidis abingdonii (Abingdon island giant tortoise), 104 nucleotides. The record is from RefSeq and is a predicted model, not a curated record. NCBI's taxonomy places the organism in Eukaryota, Metazoa, Chordata, Testudines, Testudinidae.
CUGGUAUUGCAAACAGGCUGACCAGACACCAAGUAUGAAACAUUGGGACAAGGAGUGGGGGGUAAUAGGAGCCUAUAGAAGAAAAAGGCCCAAAUAUCAGGACU